AUGUUGCACGCCCCAAUGCUGUUCACAACCAAGUUGCCUUGCACACUCACAUCCCAUUGCACGUCCAAGUGGCUUUGCACACUCAAAUCCUCUUGCACACCCAAGUGUCGUUGUAUGUCCCAGUUGCAUUGCACACCCAAAUCCCAUUGCACAUCCAAGCUGCUUUGCACGCUCAAAUCCCUUUGCACACCCAAAUCCUGUUGCACACCCACGUGUCGUUGCAAGUCACAGUUGCGUUGCACACCUGAAUUCUGUUGCACACCCCAAUCCUGUUGCAAGUGCCAGCUGUGUUGCACACUCAAAUCCCAUUGCAAGUCCAAGUUGUGUUGCACGCCCCAAUGCUGUUCACACUCAAGUUGCUUUGCACACCCAAAUCCUGUUGCACACCCACAUGUUGCUGCAAGUCACAGUUGCGUUGCACACUCAAAUCCCAUUGCAAGUCCAAGUUGUGUUGCACACCCCAGUGCUGUUCACACUCAAGUUGCGUUGCACACUCAAAUCCCACUGCAAGUCCAAGUUGUGUUGCACGCCGCAAUCCCCUUGCACGUCCAGGUGUCAUUGCACGUCCAAGUGUUGUUGCAAGUCUCAGUUGUGUUGCACACCCCCAUCCCCUUGCAUGUCCCAGUUGUGUUGCACGGCCUGUUUGCAUUGCACGCCCCAAUCCCUUUGCACAACCACGUGUCGUUGCAGGCCCCAGUUGCAUCGCACAUCCCAAUCCCAUUGCACACCCAAGUGUCGUUGCACGUCCAGGUAGCGUUGCACACUCAAGUGUCAUUGCAAGUCCAAGUAGUGUUGCACACCCCAAUGCUGUUGCACACCCCCGCCCCUUUGCACAUCCACGUGUCGUUGCAAGCUCAGGCAGCGUUGCACGCCCCAGUCCCUUUGCACGUCCACGUGUCGUUGCAGGACCCAGCUGCAUCGCACACCCCAAUCCCGUUGCACACCCAAGUGUCAUUGCACGUCCAGGUAGCGUUGCACACCCCAAUGCCGUUGCACGCCCCAGUCCCUUUGCACAUCCAUGUGUCAUUGCAAGUGCCAGUUGUGUUGCACACCCCAAUCCCUUUGCUCAUCCACGUGUCGUUGCAGGUCCCAGUUGCACUGCACACCCCAGUCCCGUUGCACGUCCACGUGUCCUUGCAGGUCCCCGUUGCAUUGCAAGUCCCAGUCGUGUUGCAAAUCUCAGUUGCAUUGCACACUCCAAACCCUUUGCACAUCCAUGUGUGCUUGCAAGUCCAAGUUGUGUUGCACGCUCCACUUGCGUUGCACAACCCCAAUCCCUUUGCAAGUCCCGGUUGCAUUGCACACCCCAGUUCCUUUGCACGUCCAAGUGUCAUUGCAAGUCCCAGCUGCAUUGCACACCCCUGUCCCUUUGCACAUCCAUGUCUCGUUGCACAUCCACGUCUCGUUACAAGUCCCGGUUGCAUUGCACACCCCCGUCCCUUUGCACAUCCACAUGUCAUUGCAAGUCCAAGUGUCGUUGCAGGUCCCGGUUGCGUUGCACACCCCCGUCCCUUUGCACAUCCACAUCUCGUUGCAAGUCCAAGUGUCGUUGCAAGUCCAAGUGUUGUUGCAGAUCCCGGUUGCAUUGCACUCUCCAAUCCCUUUGCACAUCCAGGUGUCGUUGCACAUCCAUGUCUUGUUGCAAGUCCCAGCUGCAUUGCACACCCCAAUCCCUUUGCAAGUCCCGGUUGC
Molecule: long non-coding RNA, 1692 nt
Organism: Numida meleagris (helmeted guineafowl)
Lineage: Eukaryota; Metazoa; Chordata; Aves; Galliformes; Numididae
Source: Ensembl